GCCACCUAGCCAGAAUGACGGAUAUGACUCUCAGCUUCUAACCGAGUGGGUUCGGGUUCGAAUCCCGAGUAAGGCA
Non-coding RNA from Trichonephila inaurata madagascariensis, 76 nucleotides. Lineage: Eukaryota; Metazoa; Arthropoda; Arachnida; Araneae; Nephilidae. The record is from the annotation of a GenBank genome assembly.